Molecule: ribosomal RNA, 442 nt
Filed under: uncultured bacterium
Lineage: Bacteria
Description: partial 16S ribosomal RNA
Rfam family: Bacterial small subunit ribosomal RNA
Source: RNAcentral
CCUACGGGGGGCUGCAGUGGGGAAUCUUGCGCAAUGGGCGAAAGCCUGACGCAGCGACGCCGCGUGUGGGAUGACGGCCUUCGGGUUGUAAACCACUGUCGGGAGGGACGAAGUUCUGACGGUACCUCCAAAGGAAGCACCGGCUAACUCUGUGCCAGCAGCCGCGGUAAUACAGAGGGUGCAAGCGGUGUCCGGAAUCACUGGGCGUAAAGGGCGCGUAGGCGGCCUGGUAAGUCGGAGGUGAAACGCGGCGGCUCAACCGGAGCACUGCAGUCGAGACUGCCUGGCUUGAGCACGGUAGAGGCUGGUGGAAUUCCCGGUGUAGCGGUGGAAUGCGUAGAGAUCGGGAAGAACAGCGGUGGCGAAGGCGGCCAGCUGGGCAGUUGCUGACGCUGAGGCGCGACAGCGUGGGGAGCAAACAGGAUUAGAUACCCUAGUAGUC